RNAcentral lists this ribosomal RNA (1152 nucleotides) under Serratia sp. (in: enterobacteria). Its description in RNAcentral is "bacterial SSU rRNA". It matches the Rfam family "Bacterial small subunit ribosomal RNA", at positions 322 to 1460 of the family's 1533-position model. The record is from RNAcentral. Lineage: Bacteria; Pseudomonadati; Pseudomonadota; Gammaproteobacteria; Enterobacterales; Yersiniaceae.
GGUUUCCCAGAGCUCUCCUACCGGGGAGGCAGCCAGUKGGGAAUAUUGCCAAUGGCGCAAGCUGAAUGCAAACAUCCAGGUGUGUGAAAGAAGGCCUUCGGGUUGUAAAGCACUUUCAGCGAGGAGGGAGGGGUUCAGUGUUAAUAGCACAUUUGCAUUGACGGUUACUCGCAGAAGAAGCACCGGCUAACUUCCGGUGCCAGCAACCGCGGUAAUACCGGAGGGUGCAAGCGUUAAUCGGAAUUACUGGGCGUAAAGCGCACGCAGGCGGUUUGUUAAGUCAGAUGUGAAAUCCCGCGCUUAACGUGGGAACUGCAUUUGAACUGGCAAGCUAGAGUCUUGUAGAGGGGGGUAGAAUUCCAGGUGUAGCGGUGAAAUGCGUAGAGAUCUGGAGGAAUACCGGUGGCGAAGGCGGCCCCCUGGACAAAGACUGACGCUCAGGUGCGAAAGCGUGGGGAGCAAACAGGAUUAGAUACCCUGGUAGUCCACGCUGUAAACGAUGUCGACUUGGAGGUUGUGCCCUUGAGGCGUGGCUUCCGGAGCUAACGCGUUAAGUCGACCGCCUGGGGAGUACGGCCGCAAGGUUAAAACUCAAAUGAAUUGACGGGGGCCCGCACAAGCGGUGGAGCAUGUGGUUUAAUUCGAUGCAACGCGAAGAACCUUACCUACUCUUGACAUCCAGAGAAUUCGCUAGAGAUAGCUUAGUGCCUUCGGGAACUCUGAGACAGGUGCUGCAUGGCUGUCGUCAGCUCGUGUUGUGAAAUGUUGGGUUAAGUCCCGCAACGAGCGCAACCCUUAUCCUUUGUUGCCAGCGCGUAAUGGCGGGAACUCAAAGGAGACUGCCGGUGAUAAACCGGAGGAAGGUGGGGAUGACGUCAAGUCAUCAUGGCCCUUACGAGUAGGGCUACACACGUGCUACAAUGGCGUAUACAAAGAGAAGCGAACUCGCGAGAGCAAGCGGACCUCAUAAAGUACGUCGUAGUCCGGAUCGGAGUCUGCAACUCGACUCCGUGAAGUCGGAAUCGCUAGUAAUCGUAGAUCAGAAUGCUACGGUGAAUACGUUCCCGGGCCUUGUACACACCGCCCGUCACACCAUGGGAGUGGGUUGCAAAAGAAGUAGGUAGCUUAACCUUCGGGAGGGCGCUUUACCAC